AGGGAAUCUUCCACAAUGGGCGCAAGCCUGAUGGAGCAACGCCGCGUGUGUGAUGAAGGGUUUCGGCUCGUAAAACACUGUUAUAAGAGAAGAACGGCACUGAGAGUAACUGUUCAGUGUGUGACGGUAUCUUACCAGAAAGGAACGGCUAAAUACGUGCCAGCAGCCGCGGUAAUACGUAUGUUCCAAGCGUUAUCCGGAUUUAUUGGGCGUAAAGCGAGCGCAGACGGUUAUUUAAGUCUGAAGUGAAAGCCCUCAGCUCAACUGAGGAAUUGCUUUGGAAACUGGAUGACUUGAGUGCAGUAGAGGAAAGUGAAACUCCAUGUGUAGCGGUGAAAUGCGUAGAUAUAUGGAAGAACACCAGUGGCGAAGGCGGCUGUCUGGUCUGUAACUGACGCUGAGGCUCGAAAGCAUGGGUAGCAAACAGGAUUAGAUACCCUGGUAGUCCAUGCCGUAAACGAUGAGUGCUAGGUGUUGGAGGGUUUCCGCCCUUCAGUGCCGCAGCUAACGCAUUAAGCACUCCGCCUGGGGAGUACGACCGCAAGGUUGAAACUCAAAGGAAUUGACGGGGGCCCGCACAAGCGGUGGAGCAUGUGGUUUAAUUCGAAGCAACGCGAAGAACCUUACCAGGUCUUGACAUCCUUUGACCACUCUAGAGAUAGAGCUUUCCCUUCGGGGACAAAGUGACAGGUGGUGCAUGGUUGUCGUCAGCUCGUGUCGUGAGAUGUUGGGUUAAGUC
RNAcentral lists this ribosomal RNA (739 nucleotides) under uncultured bacterium. RNAcentral describes it as "bacterial SSU rRNA". It matches the Rfam family "Bacterial small subunit ribosomal RNA", at positions 356 to 1086 of the family's 1533-position model. The record is from RNAcentral.